ACUUUACUACUUGGAUAACCGUGGUAAUUCUAGAGCUAAUACAUGCUAAAAAUCCCGACUUCGGAAGGGUUGUAUUUAUUAGAUUAAAAACCAAUGCCCCUCGGGGCUCUCUGGUGAAUCAUGAUAACUAGUCGAAUCGACAGGCCUUGUGCCGGCGAUGGCUCAUUCAAAUUUCUUCCCUAUCAACUUUCGAUGUUUGGGUCUUGUCCAAACAUGGUGGCAACGGGUAACGGAGGGUUAGGGCUCGACCCCGGAGAAGGAGCCUGAGAAACGGCUACUACAUCCAAGGAAGGCAGCAGGCGCGCAAAUUACCCAAUCCCGACACGGGGAGGUAGUGACAAUAAAUACUGAUACAGGGCUCUUUUGGGUCUUGUAAUCGGAAUGAGUACAAUUUAAAUCCCUUAACGAGGAACAAUUGGAGGGCAAGUCUGGUGCCAGCAGCCGCGGUAAUUCCAGCUCCAAUAGCGUAUAUUAAAGUUGUUGUGGUUAAAAAGCUCGUAGUUGAACCUUGGGCCUGGCUGGCCGGUCCGCCUCACCGCGUGCACUGGUCCGGCCGGGCCUUUCCCUCUGCGGAACCCCAUGCCCUUCACUGGGUGUGGCGGGGAAACAGGACUUUUACUUUGAAAAAAUUAGAGUGCUCAAGGCAGGCCUAUGCUCGAAUACAUUAGCAUGGAAUAAUAGAAUAGGACGUGUGGUUCUAUUUUGUUGGUUUCUAGGACCGCCGUAAUGAUUAAUAGGGACAGUCGGGGGCAUCAGUAUUCAAUUGUCAGAGGUGAAAUUCUUGGAUUUAUUGAAGACUAACUACUGCGAAAGCAUUUGCCAAGGAUGUUUUCAUUAAUCAGGAACGAAAGUUAGGGGAUCGAAGACGAUCAGAUACCGUCGUAGUCUUAACCAUAAACUAUGCCGACUAGGGAUCGG
This 918-nucleotide ribosomal RNA is filed under the name [Hypocrea] muroiana. RNAcentral describes it as "SSU rRNA". It matches the Rfam family "Eukaryotic small subunit ribosomal RNA", at positions 129 to 1056 of the family's 1831-position model. Lineage: Eukaryota; Fungi; Ascomycota; Sordariomycetes; Hypocreales; Hypocreaceae. The record is from RNAcentral.